UCUGCAGAUAGAAGUGGGAACUUCUCAGCAAGACACCCUCAUGUCCAGAGUCACACGGGAAGAAAAAUGGGAAGAGUCUAAGCAGAAAUACAGAGAAGCUCAUUCAGCAUGUCUAUUAUUUAGGAUUAUGAAAGCAACACCUACAUGAUGUGUUGGAAUAAUGGUUAGAGCAGCAAGGGACGCUACAUGGUGAAAGAUGCUGAUUCUGGCUUUGGAUUUUCAGCUACAGAUUCACACACACACACACACACACACACACACACACACACACACACUCACACACUCCCCCCUCCUUCCUUUC
This 301-nucleotide long non-coding RNA is filed under the name Cavia porcellus (domestic guinea pig). RNAcentral's name for it is "lncRNA (ENSCPOG00000034369.1)". Lineage: Eukaryota; Metazoa; Chordata; Mammalia; Rodentia; Caviidae. The record is from RNAcentral.